AUGGGGAUGCCAAACAUGAGGUACGCCCCAGAGCUGAACGUCAGUCCUAAUGCCAGGCUGACUAUGUUCCUCGAGGGUGUUCUCGUGGCCCUGGAGCGAUUCCGCUCCAACAGGGUGGCCUCUCUAGCCGAUGAGGCCCAGAGGCUUUGCCGAGGUGCCAUGACCAAGGUCCUCACCAAGGUGGCGUACUGGAACCCUGAACUCGACUUCGAAGCUGCGCUGGAUAGCUUGCCGGAGGGUGUGGAUCCUGUGACGCUCGAGGAGCGUAUCGAGCCCGUCAUCAGCCGCAUCGACGGAGUUCAGAGGAUAGAAGGCCAGCGUCUGGACUAG
Molecule: ribosomal RNA, 330 nt
Filed under: Triticum aestivum (bread wheat)
Lineage: Eukaryota; Viridiplantae; Streptophyta; Magnoliopsida; Poales; Poaceae
Description: partial small subunit ribosomal RNA
Source: RNAcentral